Long non-coding RNA from Cucumis melo (muskmelon), 196 nucleotides. RefSeq lists it as uncharacterized. The transcript has 4 exons. The record is from RefSeq and is a predicted model, not a curated record. Lineage: Eukaryota; Viridiplantae; Streptophyta; Magnoliopsida; Cucurbitales; Cucurbitaceae.
AAACUUGACACAUCACUCAAGCGCAUAAGAUCUAGAAAGAACCAACUAAUGCAAGAAUCUAUUUCAAUAUUGCACAAAAAGGAAAAGGCAUUGCAAGAGGAGAACAGGCAGCUAGCAAAUAAGGAAAGGGGAAGACCUUUAAUAACACUAGAGUGAAGCAUAGAGUGAAGGGGUCGAUUAAUAGAAGAAGAUGGGG